RNAcentral lists this ribosomal RNA (232 nucleotides) under uncultured bacterium. RNAcentral's name for it is "partial 16S ribosomal RNA". It matches the Rfam family "Bacterial small subunit ribosomal RNA", at positions 99 to 334 of the family's 1533-position model. The record is from RNAcentral.
CGGACGGGUGAGUAAUGUAUGGGGAUCUGCCUGAUGGCGGGGGAUAACUACUGGAAACGGUAGCUAAUACCGCAUAAUGUCUGCGGACCAAAGCGGGGGACCUCCGGGCCUCGCGCCAUCAGAUGAACCCAUAUGGGAUUAGCUUGUAGGUAAGGUAACGGCUUACCUAGGCGACGACCCCUAGCUGGUCUGAGAGGAUGAUCAGCCACACUGGGACUGAGACACGGCCCAG